GACGAACGCUGGCGGCGUGCUUAACACAUGCCAGUCGAACGGAAAGGCCCUGCUUUUGUGGGGUGCUCGAGUGGCGAACGGGUGAGUAACACGCGAGUAACCUGCCCCUGACUUUGGGAUAACUUCAGGAAACUGCGGCUAAUACCGGAUAGGAGCUCCUGCUGCAUGGGGGGGGUUGGUAAGUUUCGGCGGUUGGGGAUGGACUCGCGGCUUAUCAGCUUGUUGGUGGGGUAGUGGCUUACCAAGGCUUUGACGGGUAGCCGGCCUGAGAGGGUGAACGGCCACAUUGGGACUGAGAUACGGCCCAGACUGCUAUGGGAGGCAGCAGUGGGGAAUAUUGCACAGUGGGCGGAAGCCUGAUGCAGCAACGCCGCGUGCGGGAUGACGGCCUUCGGGUUGUAAACCGCUUUCGCCUGUGACGAAGCGUGAGUGACGGUAAUGGGUAAAGAAGCACCGGCUAACUACGUG
RNAcentral lists this ribosomal RNA (468 nucleotides) under uncultured bacterium. Its description in RNAcentral is "partial 16S ribosomal RNA". It matches the Rfam family "Bacterial small subunit ribosomal RNA", at positions 28 to 507 of the family's 1533-position model. The record is from RNAcentral.